UUCGGGAUUCGGGUUUCGGGUUGUAGUCUCGAGACUUAUACCGUUCGCCGUCUCCUAGAGAUUUGGGGGCGUCGCUCUUGUACCGGCGAUGGCGAAGCCGGAGACGAUGAGCAUGUCGUUUCUUUCGCCGGCGAUGAAACGGUGUCGCAGUGGAUUUUUGUGGAUGUAUGAGUUCCUGCAGAGCCUGAUGAACUAGGUGAAGGAGUUCCAUCAGGGGCGUUACCUUGCAUUUGGCGCAGUUUUUCUAUCUACAAAAUAGAACCAAGAUAGUUAUUGCUGUAGGAAUGAUAUCAGAUGAAAUGUUUGAAUGGUGAUAGUAGUGAGACUUGUUUGCAGCAGCAGCCCAAUCUGUAGCAUACCUCUGCUUUUAGCCUGGCAUUUUCAAUGCGAAGUUGUUGCUCCUCUGUUGCCAUGAUAUUAUCCUUGCUUAUGGUCGUAAAACCACAGUGGGGACAGCAAGACUUCUUGAUUGUCUCCCUCAUUGCCCGGUUCUCCUCUUGUAAUUUCUCUAUCUCAGACUUAAGUAGUGAAUUCUCAUGCCUCUCCUGCACUGCCUGAAGUCAAAACCGUACGGUGUUUAGUUAGAAUAAUCUGUUUUCAACUCGUUACCUUGAUCUGGGUUCGUCGAUUUUGGAACCAGAACUUGACUUGCCUAGUUGAAAGCCCCAGCUGCUUGCUCAACUGCUGCCUCUGCUUUUCAUCUGGAUGAGUAGUGUGCCUGUGGUACUUCUUCCUCUUCAGCUUGUUCCCAGCCUCCCUGUCAGUGUCAAGAGAUUCAUUUGACUCCUGCUCUUCAUCAGACCGAUCUGCUGGCCCAGAGUUCUCGCCGCUGAUCCCUGCCUGCUCUCCACAGUGCCCUCCACCACCACUUCCUUCCUCUCCAUCCUCCACCUCAGCGGCUUCCAAUGCAUUGUUCCUGAACACACCUGCCUAUUGAUAUUUCCAAAACGAUGUAACCAAAUAGAGAGACGUUAUAUGAUCAUGAAACACGCAAAAAGCCUCUAGUCCAAAAGCAAGUAAAAGAGUACUUACAAGGGAGAGGGAGAGAGCUGGAGACGCAAAGAAGUCCUUUACUGGGGGAUUGCCGCGGUUCAUGCUACUGCUCGGACAAUUGCAAAUGUAAUCAGAAGCUGCAAUGUGGAGACACUUGAGAGAGAGCAAAUAGCAUCAAGAGGGAAAGUUGAAGAAGGUGGAACAUGGAGAAAGAGGAAUUAAAUGAUGAAAAACAAAGACUGGGUUGAUCAUCAACAAAAGGGUCUAAUGGAGGACUGUUAGGGUUGAAUGGCAGCUGACAACAAUGGUGGCAUCAUCAGCAUCCAUGGGCACUUCAUAUUAAAUUCUACGGAUUCAACAAAUUCAACUGUCUCCACCAUGCUACUGUGAAAUUUUUGCUGAACCAGAGCAUAAUUUAGAAGGCAAAAGAACAAUCGAUCAAGAAUGCAGGGAACCCCACCCCCAUUUUAUGUCAUUUUAUUGCUCCUUGGUGUGCUUUUGGCCUGUGUUCUUUAGGUAUGAAUGACAUGCAAAUGUUAGGUAAUGGUUUAGUGAACUUGCCCAGUCCAAUAAGUUCAACUGUUUUUGAUUUAGAAACUACGCGAAAAGUGUAUUCAAGUGAACAACAUCAUUUGUAACAUAUUAUGAUGUUUGACCAACUAAUUUCUUGCAUAGAUCAUGUUUUCAUAUAGUUA
Long non-coding RNA from Zingiber officinale, 1688 nucleotides. RefSeq lists it as uncharacterized. The record is from RefSeq and is a predicted model, not a curated record. NCBI's taxonomy places the organism in Eukaryota, Viridiplantae, Streptophyta, Magnoliopsida, Zingiberales, Zingiberaceae. The transcript has 4 exons.